RNAcentral lists this ribosomal RNA (408 nucleotides) under uncultured soil bacterium. Its description in RNAcentral is "bacterial SSU rRNA". It matches the Rfam family "Bacterial small subunit ribosomal RNA", at positions 171 to 593 of the family's 1533-position model. The record is from RNAcentral.
GGGUAUUCACUUCCUGCGGCAUCGUGGGGUGUGGAAAGUUUUUCGGCUGGGGAUGGGCUCGCGGCCUAUCAGCUUGUUGGUGGGGUAAUGGCCUACCAAGGCGUCGACGGGUAGCCGGCCUGAGAGGGCGACCGGCCACACUGGGACUGAGACACGGCCCAGACUCCUACGGGAGGCAGCAGCGGGGAAUAUUGCACAAUGGGCGGAAGCCUGAUGCAGCGACGCCGCGUGAGGGAUGACGGCCUUCGGGUUGUAAACCUCUUUCGACCCUGACGAAGCGCAAGUGACGGUAGGGGGAGAAGAAGCACCGGCCAACUACGUGCCAGCAGCCGCGGUAAGACGUAGGGUGCGAGCGUUGUCCGGAUUUAUUGGGCGUAAAGAGCUCGUGGGCGGCUCGUCGCGUCGACC